Passer domesticus (house sparrow) is the source of this 5004-nucleotide long non-coding RNA. RefSeq lists it as uncharacterized. The record is from RefSeq and is a predicted model, not a curated record. The transcript has 2 exons. NCBI's taxonomy places the organism in Eukaryota, Metazoa, Chordata, Aves, Passeriformes, Passeridae.
CAUCCGAUGGAUCCCAUCCCAUCCCAUCCCAUCCGAUGGAUCCCAUCCCAUGGAUCCCAUCCCAUCCCAUCACCCCAUCCCAUUAUCCCGUUAUCCCACUAUCCCAUCCCGCAGUGCCUGCGGGGCAGCCCCUCCUGAAUCAGCCGCACAUCAAAGCCGCGGCGGCGCGGCGCUCCCAGCCCCGGCGGUGAGAGCAGGGGACAGGGCCCGUGCAGAUGUUCAGCAGCAGCUUUUCCCAAUUACAGAGAGCAGCAGAACUUACCGGAAAACCCGGGGAGAGGAAGGGAGAGAGUCCUGGCCAGUGGAGGCCCGGAGCAAAGAGCCCACACAUCCCUUGGAGCUUCAGCACAUCUCCCAUUUCAGCUCCAGCACCACAUUUAAUCACCCCACAUCCCCCUCCAGCCCUUGCUGUGCUGGGGAUCACCUGCUCCCAUCAAAAUCUUGCUCUUCUUUAGGAAAACCCCUCCUUGCUGGGCUUCAGGGCACUGAGGGGGGCUCAGACUUCUGAUCCAAGCCUUUGGAAAUGGUGAGAUUCCUCCUGGAGAAUCCAGCUGACCGUGUGAGCCACAGCAGGGGGACACAUGGUGGUUUUUGGCUGAGCCUGGCCAGGGCAGCCCUGAUCCUGCCCAGCUCCCACGGGCACUGUGGAUUACCAGGAGCAGGAGUUUCAGAGUCCGGGAAGUCACCCGGGCAGGACAGUGGCAUCACUCCCACAUGACAGCUGGACUUUCUCCUUUCGACAGCAAAAAGAGCAAAAUUCAGUGUACCUCGAGGGUGGCUGAAACAAAAACAGCAAAAUUCAAUGUACCUCGAGGGUGGCUGCAGCAAAAAGAGCAAAAUUCAGUGUACCUCGAGGGUGGCUGCAGCAAAAAGAGCACAAUUCAGUGUACCUCGAGGGUGGCUGAAAAAAACCAGCAAAAUUCAAUGUACCUCGAGGGUGGCUGCAGCAAAAAGAGCAAAAUUCAGUGUACCUCGAGGGUGGCUGCAGCAAAAAGAGCAAAAUUCAGUGUACCUCGAGAGUGGCUGCAGUGUGGGCACCCUGGCAUGGAGCAGAGGCAGUGGGACGUGCCUGGCCUUUCCACUGGGGGUCAUGGAAUGGGUGCAGGGUGGGAUGGGGAGCAGGUACAGGGCCAGCUCUUUCAGCUGCAGGUGCUCUCUCUGGUUUUCUGCUUGGAUGAAGCUCUGAGCGUGGCUCACAGCCUCCAGCCCACUGCAGACCCUUGCCAAAGUCCUCUCCCCUCUGCCCAGGAAGGAAAGCACUUGCCCGUGGUUCCCAUCUCAUCCCAGGAGGGUCUCCUCCUCCCUGGGGGAUGCAGAGAUGCUGUGCUCCCUCCAGAACACAUCAGGGUGUCCCUGCUCCCACAACCCCAAUUUUAAGGGAAAAUAAAAUCGGUUUUCUCCCUGUCCUUCCUCCCAUGGCCCCAUGAUCUGACUCUUCCCACCUCUCCAGAAAAGGGUCCAGAGGGAGAGGGGCUGGGUGGGAGUGGGAAUAAUGCUCAGUGCCACACGGGCAGUCGCAUCACCUUUUAUUAAUGUCCUGUAAUAAUAUUGUAAAUACUCACUGGGAAAUAAUUAUAUCCUAUAAAAGGAGCAGCAGCCUGUGGUUUGAGGCAGGACUGGUUAGAAAUACUUGUUUUUAUUAAAGAGACGUUUCAUGUCUCGUUUACAGAUUAGAUUUUAACCUGACAACCUUUUAACAUUGUAUUAAAUUAGAAAUUAACUUUGUAAGGCUGCUCACCGUAUAAUUGACCCACUGAUAGGCUGAGUGCUGGGGAAUAUUUCAGAUACCUUUCAGACAGCAAAGUUCCCAAGAAAAUUCAGAGCCUCCUCCCUGAUCUAGACCAGGGCUUUGCUAUUAAUUAGUAUUUCUGAUCAUUUAUUGGCAGGAAUGCUUUCCAUGGAGGGGAGGCCCAGGGAGCAGCAUCCCUGCACAUCCCAGGGAUGUGAUGGAGGGAAGGAGAGGGAGGUGACAGGGAAUGCUGCAAGCCCCUGACAUUGCUGUUGGUGUUGCAGCGUAAUUUCCUGCAGCAGAAACUCCCAAGAAAGGCAAAAAAUUCAGCCUGGGGACUCCCUGACAGCAGCAAUGACAUCGGAGCCCAGGGAGGGACGGUGGCAACUGAUGGGACAGUGUCAAGCCCAGGCACAGCCAGGAGUGUCCCCAGGGCCGGGGGGACAUGGGGCAUGGCCAGCAGUGUCCCUGUACAGAGUGAAUGAGCUGGGUGUCCCCGUGGGGACAGGGGUGUCCCUGUCACUCCCCGGUGCUGGGGACUCGCACCCCGCCGGGUCCUGCCCUUCGCUCCCGAUGGACAGAGGCAUUUGUGGGACAGCUGGAACCUGGCCCCAGAGGGACAGAGGAGGUCUCACCCUGUCGGGCUGGAGGACUCUGGAGCCCAGAUUUACACCGGUAUUCCCUUAAUUCCACGGGACAGCGGGACACCGGACAGCCCCGGUGCUCCAGCGCGGGGACCAGGGAUGCUCUGCCCGGCUGGGGGCACAGGGACGGGCGAGGGCACAGAGGGCACAGAGGGCACAGCUGAACUGCUCAUCCCUUCCCCUUUCUGCUCCCAGCAGCUCGGACAGGGGCUCCUGCCGUCCCCGGGACAGGCGCUGCCGCAGACAAAUGCUUGUCCCGGUGCCUUUUCCAUCUGUGAAACAGGCCAAGCAGUGGAUCCAAUUUUUUUUUUUUCCCUAGCACACAAGCCACUAAUCAUUUAUUGCAUUAAAAAAAGCCCCCCCUCGUCUCCACAACUUUUGUUCCCGUUUUAUCCAAUUAAAACUCAGGGGAGAAAAAAAAAUAUAAAAGUUUCGUUUUCUCCUUUUUGCAAUCACAAAGACCCGAUCUCAGCCCCAUUGACUCGCUAAUUGUAAGCACUCAAAUGGUUGGGUUUAAAGUUACACUUAGCAGCUGUGAAACAUUAGGGUGAAGUGAUUACAACCUACUGGAGGAUACCGAACAUUUUUACAAUAUCUCAGGAGCAUAAGGGAAAGACAACAGGAAAUGGCGCAAACUUUCCUACCCUGCACAGCAACAAGGCAGAGCAAAGGAGUGAGAAAAUAAAUGCAGAGACGUGGCGCAGACGUGGUUUGGAUGCUCAAGAAGUUCCUGAGGGAGCCCUGGCUCUAGGCUUUCUUAACAUUUUGGCUACAGGGCUAUCAACAGCAGAGAAUUUAGGACAUUCUUUUCAAUGAACCAGACUGAAAAUAUUUUGGUACAGCCCCAGUUUGUAGGGUUUUGUUGAAUCUCUUCCCCCCCACUUUAAACAAAACAUCCUGAUUCAAAGGAGCUUCUUGCAGACUGGGAAUUUCCACAUGGCCAUAUUGCAGCACUUAUAAAAAGUGAUUUAAUGCCUGCCAACAACAAAUACAUUUGCAAUGACACCACUCUGUGUUAUGUGCUAUCCCACUUUGUGUGCUCAGCCAGAAGCAGCCAGGCUGUCCCAGGCAGGAGGGAGAGGAGCCUCCUUCCUUCCUCCACCAGAACUUUGUCCCUUUCCCUGCUCCUUGGAAAGCCUGAAAGGAAACAAGCAUCACGGUGACAACACAAUCCCUUCUGUAUGUGUUAAUCUGGAUUUUGUUUGAACUUUUGGAGCUGACCUUGGCUUGAACUGUGUUAAAAAGCCUGACUGGUGUGGACUGACUUGACCCUGCGGUCCCAUUUGUCCACGGUGCCAGUCCUGCCCUCAGCCCUGGACUUCAAGCCUUUAUUUUACAGACAAAAAGGAACAUAACAUUACAGCAGAUAUAGCCAGCGGGCCGGAGCUGCAAGUACUUACUUAGAGGCAAAACUCUCCUCUGAUUUCAUCCCAAGGAAGUUAUUUUUUUUUUUGCUUGAGAAGAGACUGACUGAAAACCAAGCAAGAAACUGAAAUUAUUGCUGUAGACUCUCGCUUUUUAUUAGCGGUUUCCAAGCCUGAAGAAAACAAAACCUUCUGAGUGGCUGUGUUACAAUCAAAAGUUAAAAAAAAUAAAAAUACUAACCCAAACCAAGCCCAGGACUGAACUGGGUGUUUGGGGAUGGAGUAGGAAGAGGGUGGUUGGUUCUGCAUCCCUUGGUGUGGCUGGCUGGAGCUGUAAGAUUUGUGGGUUUAGAUAGUUUCCUCUCCCUGCCAUGACUCAAACGGCUUCUAUUAAAAACAAGUAGUGGGAAGGAAAUUUCAUAAGCUGACAGCCCCAUCUCACUCUGCUGCUAGACACAAGUUGGCUGAGAUGUAGGAAUUCGUGUGGUUAUGAUGUGUGAGCCCAGAACUGUUUUAUCAGCGGGGUUGUGCAGUGCUAGCUCUGACUGUGCACGUUCAGAAGGGUGCAGAGGUUCAGGCUGCUCUGCAAAGCCUCUGGUCCAUGAUCCCACAACAGAACAAUGGAAAUGGGAGCCUCUGCCUCCUGCACCUGGGCCUUGUCCCUCUGGAAUCAGUGGGAUGAAGAAGCAGGGUCCCAAUCAAAGCAGGGAGCUGGGUGUUGGUGUUCAGAGGAGCCAAGUGGGUGCAAGGCACACCACCUAAAUACCUUGUUUUAAAAAUCCUGUCUGUGCACAGGAGGACAAGGAAAUGGGGAGGCAAAACCAUGCUAGACUGGCUGCAUAACAGCCACUGAUGGCUUUAAUUAAAGCCCUCAAGUCAGUAAAUACACACAGAGUCUGGUCCAGGGAGAUACACAAAGCCCACAGUCAGCCCAGUAACACUCCAUGAACAUUGCCAUUUAAGCAGUUUCUUGUUUAACUUAGAUUUAUUCAAUGACACAUGCAUUUCUGGACAGAUAUCUGAGUUCCAAUGAACAACUUUUAUAACCAAAUGUGAGAAAUCCAUGACUGCAAUUAGUCAAUUAAGUACGUUCCUAAAAUACAUGACUAGAAGAAAACAGGAGCAAGAGAGAGAAUUCUUCCAAAGAACAAAAAGAAACAUUUUCAUUUAUAAUACUCCUGGCAUCGAUGAGUAUCAGAGGGGAAGAAGGGCAGCAAGGAGAGGCGAUGAGGAAGGAAUAACAUCAUCAACCCUGUCCACAGAAAGU